CCAGUGGUGAACUCCACAUCCGCAUCCUUUGCUGAGGAUACGGUUAACGGAGCGAAAGCGACGUUCAACCGCAAAACAAGCAGAGGGGGCUUAGUGGUGGGGUGACUGCGUACCUUUUGUAUAAUGGGUCAGCGACUUAUAUUCUGUAGCAAGGUUAACCGAAUAGGGGAGCCGGAGGGAAACCGAGUCUUAAUUGGGCGUUAAGUUGCAGGGUAUAGACCCGAAACCCGGUGAUCUAGCCAUGGGCAGGUUGAAGGUUGGGUAACACUAACUGGAGGACCGAACCGACUAAUGUUGAAAAAUUAGCGGAUGACCUGUGGCUGGGGGUGAAAGGCCAAUCAAACCGGGAGAUAGCUGGUUCUCCCCGAAAGCUAUUUAGGUAGCGCCUCGUGAAUUCAUCUCCGGGGGUAGAGCACUGUUUCGGCUAGGGGGCCAUCCCGGCUUACCAACCCGAUGCAAACUGCGAAUACCGGAGAAUGUUAUCACGGGAGACACACGGCGGGUGCUAACGUCCGUCGUGAAGAGGGAAACAACCCAGACCGCCAGCUAAGGUCCCAAAGUCAUGGUUAAGUGGGAAACGAUGUGGGAAGGCCCAGACAGCCAGGAUGUUGGCUUAGAAGCAGCCAUCAUUUAAAGAAAGCGUAAUAGCUCACUGGUCGAGUCGGCCUGCGCGGAAGAUGUAACGGGGCUAAACCAU
RNAcentral lists this ribosomal RNA (697 nucleotides) under Salmonella enterica. Its description in RNAcentral is "partial 23S ribosomal RNA". It matches the Rfam family "Bacterial large subunit ribosomal RNA", at positions 1 to 1190 of the family's 2925-position model. Lineage: Bacteria; Pseudomonadati; Pseudomonadota; Gammaproteobacteria; Enterobacterales; Enterobacteriaceae. The record is from RNAcentral.